GGCAGUUUUGGUGAUUCUUCAAAGCAGAGUCUCUGAGCUCGUUAAUGCAGGUAGGGAUGACAGCUUUGGCCCUUGUUGAAUACUGAGACAAUCAGGACUCUCUCACCACUAGGCUAGUGUUAGGCUAGUACAAGAUUUUUGUCAGAAUUAAACCAUGAGUUAGCAUUGGCGGGCAACAUUUUCAUGAGCCUUAAGGCAUUUUGCGGCUCAACUGACUUGGGCUGGAGAGUGCCCUCUCCUGGCCAAGACUGGUGUGUACACACCUCAAGUCUACCAGCGCUUCCCAUUGUGUGAAGCCAGCAAGCUAUCUAGAAUAAAUUCAUUAUGAAAAUUCAACUGAAUUUUAGUCUAUUUUUUUUUUUUUUGGUAAAUGGAUGAAAAAGAACUCAAAUGCUCUAUUUUUGUUAACUUGGUUUUUUCUACCAUAGGUCUCAACAAAUGGCAGC
This 446-nucleotide long non-coding RNA is filed under the name Bos taurus (domestic cattle). RNAcentral describes it as "long non-coding RNA NONBTAT023587". Lineage: Eukaryota; Metazoa; Chordata; Mammalia; Artiodactyla; Bovidae. The record is from RNAcentral.